This is a long non-coding RNA of Ipomoea nil (Japanese morning glory), 1861 nucleotides long. RefSeq lists it as uncharacterized. The transcript has 4 exons. The record is from RefSeq and is a predicted model, not a curated record. Lineage: Eukaryota; Viridiplantae; Streptophyta; Magnoliopsida; Solanales; Convolvulaceae.
UUGAUCUAAAAGUAUUUCUUCAAUCAAUUGUUUUUAAGUAUCUUUGCCUUGUCUUUUUGUAUUGAUGUGAUAAAUGCUUUUUAACAGUACUAGGGGUCGUUUGUUAGUCCUCUGCCUUGAGCAUAUUCAAAAUUCUGAUUGUUGUUCCAUAGCAUUUUUUAUUUUUCGAUGGUUGGAUCAUCUUGCCAUUCGAGAUGAUUUUUGGAAGCCAGUGCAAAUUUGGAAUCAGGAUCGUCAUUUGCUCAUAUGUCGGAUGGGUGCUGAAGAGGAUGAUCGUGAAUCACACUUAGUUUCCAUUGAUUUGUGUUUCAGAGAAUUCCAGUCCUGAAUGUAACUUAGAGCGGUAGUAACAUGGGUGAAAUUGCUAUGCGGAUCCGAAAGGGUUAUUGAAUUACCCUUCUUUUCUCUGGAGAGAACAACAGGGCCCGGGAAGGAUGAUUUGUGCUUCAAUUUUUUUUACCUGGUGAGAACAACAGGGGCACGGAAGGAGGAUCUUUGCUUCAACUUUUUUACCUGUUGAACUCCUCCUCUGUUUAGCAAAUCUAAUGGUUCUGUUAUUUUGAAUCCAUCCAGCUAUAUUGCAUUGGCUUAUGUUGGUCAUGCACUCCACAACAGAAUUUUAUAAUGUUCUUGCUUUUUCUUUGAAAAUGUUUUUAUCAUUUAAUUUGACUGGUUGGUCAUGCACUCCACAAAAAAUAUGACUCAAUUAAGGAACUACUAAUUGCAGGGCUCAUUCUCCCUCCAACAAACUUCCUGCUGAUGGAUGAUGUUUUUGAGGGGCGGGCUGUCGAGACACUAAUGGUGGUAGUGAUGAGUCACAGUCUCACAGAUCGAGUAGCAUUAUGGCUAACGAACACACUAUUAAUUAGGGUGGAAUAUGAUCCAAGUGUUAGAAGCCAGUACAAUCAAGGCUUGUGAUUCAUCCACUGACUGCUCCUAUACUCUGCCCGGAAAUGACCAUAAUGAGAGUUUUGCACGCAGCUUUCAAAGUUUGGUAUGCAAUAUAAUAUAUGUCUGUAUAAACUGCAAUUAAGUUAAAGCAAACUAUAUAUAUUCGUUUUUAGGAAAUUCGGGUGGUGACUUACACAAAAUAACAUCAACUAGUAAACCAUUCAACAUUUAUUUAUUAUUUUCUAAAAUCCCAAACAUCCAAAGCUUAUCUGAAGGUAAAGCUUUUUGGGCAGUAUCCUAUGAUGCCUUUGGUGUUACAGUUGAUCAUGGCUUUUGCAGCUUGAUCAAAGCAGAUUCUAACCUCGACGAGGUACUUUUCUUUGCAUUGAAUUUUGACAUUCACAUUUAAAGCACGACGGAUUGCGUCAAGAAUCUGGGUAUCCCUGUACUGGCGACCACGAGCAAUUCCACCAUUUUGUAAAACACGCGUGAUAUUGUUCCUGUGCAACAGAUCCAAUGCUUUAGUGAAGUAUUGAGGUUGAUUGAAGAGGGUAAAGGAAGCCCUGCCAUGGUCAUUCCACUCGUGUGCCCAAAAACCAUCAUCAGGCCGAAGCUUUGCUCCGGAGUUGGCAAAUGGCCAUAGACCAUGGAUGGUGAAAUCAGAUUUCACCUUACUCUCUUCGCAACGGUCACCAAUGGAAGCACAAUAGCCUGGGGGCCAUAUGAGUGCCAAACCAAAGCCAUCCCAUGGGUUUUUUUGGUAACUCUUGGUUACAAGUAAAAAGAAAAUAAGUAAACUUAAAGGAAUUUUCAUUGUGUGUAUGUCUUUUAAUUUGCAGAUGAGAUGUGCUGUGUGUAAUGCUAAGCAAGCUCAAGUAUUAUGUGUGCGUUUAUAUAGGCUAUAAGCCACUGCCUGUCAUUUUCUUAGUUGUUAAUUAUUUCCUAUAAAUGAAUGAAUUUGUUUGUUUUA